This 1535-nucleotide ribosomal RNA is filed under the name Mesorhizobium sp. Its description in RNAcentral is "partial 23S ribosomal RNA". It matches the Rfam family "Bacterial large subunit ribosomal RNA", at positions 1431 to 2925 of the family's 2925-position model. The record is from RNAcentral. Lineage: Bacteria; Pseudomonadati; Pseudomonadota; Alphaproteobacteria; Hyphomicrobiales; Phyllobacteriaceae.
UAAUAUUCCUGUACUGGGUGUUACUGCGAAGGGGGGACGGAGAAGGCUAUGUUAGCCGGGCGACGGUUGUCCCGGUUUAAGCAUGUAGGCGGAACGAUUAGGUAAAUCCGGUCGUUUGUUAACGCUGAGGUGUGAUGACGAGGCACUACGGUGCUGAAGUAACAAAUGCCCUGCUUCCAGGAAAAGCCUCUAAGCAUCAGGUAACAUCAAAUCGUACCCCAAACCGACACAGGUGGUCAGGUAGAGAAUACCAAGGCGCUUGAGAGAACUCGGGUGAAGGAACUAGGCAAAAUGGUGCCGUAACUUCGGGAGAAGGCACGCUGAUAUGUAGGUGAAGCCCCUGCGGGUGGAGCUGAAAUCAGUCGAAGAUACCAGCUGGCUGCAACUGUUUAUUAAAAACACAGCACUGUGCAAACACGAAAGUGGACGUAUACGGUGUGACGCCUGCCCGGUGCCGGAAGGUUAAUUGAUGGGGUUAGCGGCAACGCGAAGCUCUUGAUCGAAGCCCCGGUAAACGGCGGCCGUAACUAUAACGGUCCUAAGGUAGCGAAAUUCCUUGUCGGGUAAGUUCCGACCUGCACGAAUGGCGUAAUGAUGGCCAGGCUGUCUCCACCCGAGACUCAGUGAAAUUGAACUCGCUGUGAAGAUGCAGUGUACCCGCGGCAAGACGGAAAGACCCCGUGAACCUUUACUAUAGCUUGACACUGAACACUGGUCCUUGAUGUGUAGGAUAGGUGGGAGGCUUUGAAGCGUGGACGCCAGUCUGCGUGGAGCCGACCUUGAAAUACCACCCUUUAAUGGCUGGUGUUCUAACGUAGACCCGUAAUCCGGGUUGCGGACAGUGUCUGGUGGGUAGUUUGACUGGGGCGGUCUCCUCCCAAAGAGUAACGGAGGAGCACGAAGGUUAGCUAAUCCUGGUCGGACAUCAGGAGGUUAGUGCAAUGGCAUAAGCUAGCUUGACUGCGAGAGUGACGGCUCGAGCAGGUGCGAAAGCAGGUCAUAGUGAUCCGGUGGUUCUGAAUGGAAGGGCCAUCGCUCAACGGAUAAAAGGUACUCCGGGGAUAACAGGCUGAUACCGCCCAAGAGUUCAUAUCGACGGCGGUGUUUGGCACCUCGAUGUCGGCUCAUCACAUCCUGGGGCUGAAGUAGGUCCCAAGGGUAUGGCUGUUCGCCAUUUAAAGUGGUACGCGAGCUGGGUUUAGAACGUCGUGAGACAGUUCGGUCCCUAUCUGCCGUGGGCGCUGGAGAAUUGAGGGGGGCUGCUCCUAGUACGAGAGGACCGGAGUGGACGCAUCACUGGUGUUCGGGUUGUCAUGCCAAUGGCAUUGCCCGGUAGCUAAAUGCGGAAGAGAUAAGUGCUGAAAGCAUCUAAGCACGAAACUUGCCCCGAGAUGAGUUCUCCCUGACCCUUUAAGGGUCCUGAAGGAACGUUGAAGACUACGACGUUGAUAGGUCGGGUGUGUAAGCGCAGCGAUGCGUUGAGCUAACCGAUACUAAUGAACCGUGAGGCUUAACCUUACAACGCCGAAGCUGUU